This is a long non-coding RNA of Cyprinus carpio (common carp), 524 nucleotides long. RefSeq lists it as uncharacterized. The record is from RefSeq and is a predicted model, not a curated record. The transcript is spliced from 3 exons. Lineage: Eukaryota; Metazoa; Chordata; Actinopteri; Cypriniformes; Cyprinidae.
ACACAGGAAGUUUGGUCAGUAUGGUGUGGUUGUGAUUCACACACUUCCACACAGUCUCAAAACAGCAGCAGUUCAGACUGUUUUCUCGUUUCUGGGACUGAGCAUCUGCUAAUGAAGAGAUGGACACUGCAGAGAAAAUCAUUCUUUUCUGUUUUCUCUUACAAGGUGUUUGCUGUAGAGAUUUCAGCAUCACUCUGCCACAGAAGAUCGAAGCUCUCAGUGGAUCCUGUGUGAUCAUAAAGUGCAGAUUUGAGAUUCAGGAACAAUAUGACAAAAACCUCACUGAAAGAGCUACAGGACAGUGGCUCAAAAAUGGGACUGAUUUGAAAAACAAUCUAGUGUUUAACUCAAGCACAUCAAGCCAGAAAUCCUCCAUGAAAGGAAAUAUUACUGGAAAAUUAAAAGACAAGAACUGUACCACUGUUUUUCAUGACCUCAGAUCAAUUCACAGUGGUAAAUAUUACUUCAGGUUUGAGGGUGAAGGUGAACUGAAAUGGACCUUUUCAAAAACAAGUGUUUCAAUU